RNAcentral lists this ribosomal RNA (718 nucleotides) under Pusillimonas sp. RNAcentral's name for it is "bacterial SSU rRNA". It matches the Rfam family "Bacterial small subunit ribosomal RNA", at positions 27 to 730 of the family's 1533-position model. Lineage: Bacteria; Pseudomonadati; Pseudomonadota; Betaproteobacteria; Burkholderiales; Alcaligenaceae. The record is from RNAcentral.
GAUUGAACGCUAGCGGGAUGCUUUACACAUGCAAGUCGAACGGCAGCGCGAGGAAAGCUUGCUUUUCUUGGCGGCGAGUGGCGAACGGGUGAGUAAUAUAUCGGAACGUGCCCAGUAGCGGGGGAUAACUACGCGAAAGCGUGGCUAAUACCGCAUACGCCCUACGGGGGAAAGGGGGGGAUUCUUCGGAACCUCUCACUAUUGGAGCGGCCGAUAUCAGAUUAGCUAGUUGGUGGGGUAAAGGCCUACCAAGGCUGCGAUCUGUAGCUGGUUUGAGAGGACGACCAGCCACACUGGGACUGAGACACGGCCCAGACUCCUACGGGAGGCAGCAGUGGGGAAUUUUGGACAAUGGGGGCAACCCUGAUCCAGCCAUCCCGCGUGUGCGAUGAAGGCCUUCGGGUUGUAAAGCACUUUUGGCAGGGAAGAAACGGCGCCGGAUAAUACCUGGCGUCACUGACGGUACCUGCAGAAUAAGCACCGGCUAACUACGUGCCAGCAGCCGCGGUAAUACGUAGGGUGCAAGCGUUAAUCGGAAUUACUGGGCGUAAAGCGUGCGCAGGCGGUUCGGAAAGAAAGAUGUGAAAUCCCAGAGCUUAACUUUGGAACUGCAUUUUUAACUGCCGAGCUAGAGUAUGUCAGAGGGGGGUAGAAUUCCACGUGUAGCAGUGAAAUGCGUAGAGAUGUGGAGGAAUACCGAUGGCGAAGGCAGCCCCCU